This 253-nucleotide ribosomal RNA is filed under the name uncultured bacterium. RNAcentral's name for it is "partial 16S ribosomal RNA". It matches the Rfam family "Bacterial small subunit ribosomal RNA", at positions 524 to 776 of the family's 1533-position model. The record is from RNAcentral.
UACGGAGGAUGCAAGCGUUAUCCGGAAUGAUUGGGCGUAAAGGGUCCGCAGGUGGCAGUGUAAGUCUGCUGUCAAAGAAUGAGGCUUAACCUCAUCAAGGCAGUGGAAACUACACAGCUAGAGUACGGUCGGGGUAGAAGGAAUUCCUGGUGUAGCGGUGAAAUGCGUAGAUAUCGGGAGGAACACCUGAGGCGAAGGCGGGCUACUGGGCCGAUACUGACGCUGAGGCGCGAAAGCCAGGGGAGCAAACGGG